UACAGAGGGGGCAAGCGUUGUUCGGAAUUACUGGGCGUAAAGGGCGCGUAGGCGGCCUGUUAAGUCGAACGUGAAAUCCCUGGGCUCAACCCAGGAACUGCGUCCGAUACUGGUUGGCUUGAAUCCGGGAGAGGGACGUGGAAUUCCUGGUGUAGCGGUGGAAUGCGCAGAUAUCAGGAGGAACACCAAUAGCGAAGGCAGCUCGCUGGGACGGUACUGACGCUAAGGCGCGAAAGCGUGGGGAGCGAACAGG
This 253-nucleotide ribosomal RNA is filed under the name uncultured bacterium. RNAcentral describes it as "partial 16S ribosomal RNA". It matches the Rfam family "Bacterial small subunit ribosomal RNA", at positions 524 to 776 of the family's 1533-position model. The record is from RNAcentral.